UUUUGAACCAUAGCAUGUAAAUUUUCCUGG
Molecule: non-coding RNA, 30 nt
Filed under: Cricetulus griseus (Chinese hamster)
Lineage: Eukaryota; Metazoa; Chordata; Mammalia; Rodentia; Cricetidae
Source: RNAcentral